This 70-nucleotide transfer RNA is filed under the name Saturnia boisduvalii. RNAcentral describes it as "tRNA-Glu". Lineage: Eukaryota; Metazoa; Arthropoda; Insecta; Lepidoptera; Saturniidae. The record is from RNAcentral. RNAcentral also lists the same sequence under 1 other name.
AUUUAUAUAGUUUAAUUAAAUAAAACAUUACAUUUUCAUUGUAAAAAUAAAUUAAAAAAUUUUAUAAAUA